Molecule: long non-coding RNA, 2401 nt
Organism: Triticum dicoccoides
Lineage: Eukaryota; Viridiplantae; Streptophyta; Magnoliopsida; Poales; Poaceae
Exons: 4
Source: RefSeq, a predicted model, not a curated record
CGUCAUCUCCACCUCAAUGAGACUUAGUUUGCGCAUUAACGACUAUAGGUUUCUUAAUGUUUUGGAGUGGUUCAGUCGUGUAUUUCUUUGCGCCCAUGUUCGCUUCAGUAUUCCCUUCCAAUUCUCACACUAUGGUUGCGGCUUCUUUAUUUAUGUUGGACUGUUCUGUGAAUUGCCACCAUGACACUUGUUGAAAAUAGUGUUGUCGGGUGAUAAUCAUUCUUGGCAGUGAUUCUUGAAAAUAGUGUUGUCAGGUUCCUCAUAGAAUAGUAUAAUGCUAACAAGGCUGGGGAUUCCAAAAGCUGGAUAUCAUCGCUACAAUAAGAUUUCUGUACAUUGAUACUACUGAAACUAAAUUGCCUUUUCCUAAUUUCUAUAAACUUGACUGGAAAUGUUAAGUAUCAAAUAUUCCCUCCGGCCCAUAAUAGAAGAACAUUUUCAAGUUGUUUUAGCUUGAAAAACAUUCUUAGAUUAUGGGACGGAGGGAGUAUUAAUUACUCUAGAGUUCUCAUACUGAAAAUAGGCACAUAAUUCAAUCGCUGAAAUGGUGUAUAUGAGUUUAUCUUACCUUUGGGAGGAAAGGCACAAAAAAGUCUUCAUCCAUAGCAAGAAGGUUUAGAACCUGCAACCAUCGAGCGCUCAUUGAUUUAGUUGUGUUAGAAGGUAGGUGACUACAUAUAUUGGGCUGAACACCUACCUUUAGUUAGUUGGCAUAAGGUGACAUAGCAAAGCUAUCUAAUAACAAGGAGGUACAAUAGUAAAUAACUAUAGAAGAAUCCUAUUGCUUAUUGUACGUGAUGUGAUAUGAAGAAGUUUUGAUCUUGUGAAUAAUAGUAGUGGAAGAUAUGUGCUAUUAUAUCUUGUGAAUAAUAGAUGUGAACAUGAAUUUUUGCUGUUUUUUCUGCAGAAUAAACCACAUAACCUACAAAGCAUUUGAUUUCAACAAGUUAUACACUGCAACGUUUAGUAGCCAGCUAUUGUGUUUUUCUGGAAUUGCUAUCCUCUAAAUCAAAAAAGUGUUUGAAUGGACAAAUAUCUAAAUAAAAAAUGCAAACACAAUCAAAACCUUAAGAAGUACUCUUGGAAACCCAGCUUAUCCUUCUGCAUUAAACACCGGAACAAAUGUUCAUGUUCGAGUCUGCUGUGAACCUAACUAAGAUCAGCAAGAAAACAAUGAAUACAUAAUUUCCUCUCUAGCUGUUGAAUCAGAAAUUAUGUAAAAGCGUUGAGAGCUCAAAUGAGAAUUCUACCAGCUUUUGAAACGGUUAGGAGGCAGAUGAUUACAUACAUUGUGGCAUCGUACUAUCAGCAUGAGAACCCAAUUCCAGCUACUUAGCAUAAGAUGAUAUGGCAUAAUCAACUAAUAAGAAGGGGCUGCAACCAUAAAUAAUUGUAGAAGAAACUGGGUGUGCAAAUGCGUGUAUUCAUAAUCCUAUUUGCCUAUAGCAGGUGAUGUUAUGUAUAGAAGUUUUUAUUCUGUAGGUUUUCUUUUUGUUAGAACAAACAACAGUAGCAAGAUAUUUUUCUCAUAUAUUUACUGCUGUUGUAAGAUAAUAUAAUGAUCUGAUUUUUAGCAUAAAUUACAUAAUUAGAAGGCGUAGGUGUAUCUAGGAUGUGUACUUCCUCGUGAACUAAGCUAUCUUUGCUGGAAGCAUAAGUACCUAUGAGCGCCAUUGUGCAUGAUCUGUGUUAAUUUUCUUUUGCAAGGCGAUGUACUUAGGUGAUAGCACGUGGAAUCACGAAUUGCACAUGGGUACGCUGAAAGGAAAGAAUAGGGAAGACAGAUGUGCACGAACCUUGUCUGAAUCUGCCUUUUCGUUGGACUCUGAGCGAUGGCUGGUUUCCAGAGGGAGAUGGCCUGACUGAGCCAGGGAGAUGGCCUGACUGAGCCAUCGCUUACGCGGGCGCGUGUAGCAGAACCGAGCAGACAAGAAGGCCUCCUCGGACAUUAAGAAGGUACGACUAGGUAGCAGUGGAAGUGCUCCGUUCAAAAACAAAAGCUCUACAUAUGCAAAUGGAGGUUCAGACACAUCUCCAUGAGCAGGUCAAGAGCCAUGAAUAGGAGCAAGGCAUCACACUCCAGCUCUGAGAAGAAAAAGAUAUGAAGACAGAGAUAGAUCAGUGUUUUGCUCCGAAGCAAAAACAUUUUGCAUGUAAUAAUGAACUAUAGUUUACCACAAUCUCUCUAAAACAGGCCUACCUAUUACCAGUCCGUUGCUUGCCUUUUUUAGGAAGUAUGACUCAGUUGUAUAUAUUUACAUUUGUGUUGUUUAGUUGUGGUUUGUAUGCCUGAAAAUAUGUUUUAGCCGAGCUUGAAAAUUCUUAUGUGCAGUGAAAUUGUAUGUAACACUUUGUAAAGAACAAAUGAAACAUGUUUCAAAUAACUCAUAGUCUAAAUCGA